RNAcentral lists this ribosomal RNA (253 nucleotides) under uncultured bacterium. Its description in RNAcentral is "partial 16S ribosomal RNA". It matches the Rfam family "Bacterial small subunit ribosomal RNA", at positions 524 to 776 of the family's 1533-position model. The record is from RNAcentral.
GACAGAGGGGGCAAGCGUUGCUCGGAAUUACUGGGCGUAAAGCGCGUGUAGGUGGUGGGACAAGUCUGCUGUGAAAGCGCCUGGCUUAACCGGGCGAGGUCGGCGGAAACUGUCCGACUCGAGGACGGUAGAGGGGGGUGGAAUUCCCGGUGUAGUGGUGAAAUGCGUAGAGAUCGGGAGGAACACCUGUGGCGAAGGCGGCCCCCUGGGCCGGCCCUGACACUGAGACGCGAAGGCGUGGGGAGCGAACGGG